This 1397-nucleotide ribosomal RNA is filed under the name uncultured marine bacterium. RNAcentral describes it as "bacterial SSU rRNA". It matches the Rfam family "Bacterial small subunit ribosomal RNA". The record is from RNAcentral.
AACGUACGCUGGCGGCACGCCUAACACAUGCAAGUCGAACGAAGUAGCAAUACUUAGUGGCAGACGGGUGAGUAACAUGUAGGUAUCUGCCCUUUGGCCUGGAAUAACACGAGGAAACUUGUGCUAAUACCGGAUAAGUCUUUACGGAGAAAGCUUUAUGCACCAUUGGAUGAGCCUGCACUUGAUUAGUUUGUUGGUGGGGUAAUGGCCUACCAAGACUGUGAUCAAUAGCUGAUUUGAGAGGAUGAUCAGCCACAUUGGGACUGAGACACGGCCCAAACUCCUACGGGAGGCAGCAGUGGGGAAUCUUGCACAAUGGAGGAAACUCUGAUGCAGCGAUGCCGCGUGAGUGAAGAAGGCCUUUGGGUUGUAAAGCUCUUUCGUCGGGGAAGGAAAUGACUGUACCCGAAUAAGAAGGUCCGGCUAACUUCGUGCCAGCAGCCGCGGUAAUACGAAGGGACCUAGCGUAGUUCGGAAUUACUGGGCUUAAAGAGUUCGUAGGUGGUUGAAAAAGUUGGUGGUGAAAUCCCAGAGCUUAACUCUGGAACUGCCAUCAAAACUCUUCAGCUAGAGUAUGAUAGAGGAAAGCAGAAUUUCUAGUGUAGAGGUGAAAUUCGUAGAUAUUAGAAAGAAUACCAAUUGCGAAGGCAGCUUUCUGGAUCAUUACUGACACUGAGGAACGAAAGCAUGGGUAGCGAAGAGGAUUAGAUACCCUCGUAGUCCAUGCCGUAAACGAUGUGUGUUAGACGUUGGAAAUUUAUUUUCAGUGUCGCAGCGAAAGCGAUAAACACACCGCCUGGGGAGUACGACCGCAAGGUUAAAACUCAAAUGAAUUGACGGGGACCCGCACAAGUAGUGGAGCAUGUGGUUUAAUUCGAAGAUACGCGCAGAACCUUACCAACACUUGACAUGUUCGUCGCGACUUUGAGAGAUCAAAGUUUUCGGUUCGGCCGGACGAAACACAGGUGCUGCAUGGCUGUCGUCAGCUCGUGUCGUGAGAUGUUGGGUUAAGUCCCGCAACGAGCGCAACCCUCACUUUUAGUUGCCAUCAUUAAGUUGGGCACUCUGAAAGAACUGCCAGUGAUAAGCUGGAGGAAGGUGGGGAUGACGUCAAGUCCUCAUGGCCCUUACGUGUUGGGCUACACACGUGCUACAAUGGUAUCUACAACAGGAAGCAAAACCGCGAGGUUAAGCAAAUCCUUAAAAGAUACCUCAGUUCGGAUUGCACUCUGCAACUCGAGUGCAUGAAGCUGGAAUUACUAGUAAUCGUGGAUCAGCGUGCCACGGUGAAUGCGUUCCCGGGUCUUGUACACACCGCCCGUCACACCAUGGGAGUUGGUUCUACCUUAAGGCAAGGUUUAAAACCCUUGACCACGGUAUAGUCAGCGACUGGGGUG